CCUACGGGUGGCAGCAGUGAGGAAUAUUGGUCAAUGGGCGCGAGCCUGAACCAGCCAAGUAGCGUGAAGGAUGACUGCCCUACGGAUUGUAAACUUCUUUUAUAAAGGAAUAAAGUGAGGCACGUGUGCCUUUUUGUAUGUACUUUAUGAAUAAGGAUCGGCUAACUCCGUGCCAGCAGCCGCGGUAAUACGGAGGAUCCGAGCGUUAUCCGGAUUUAUUGGGUUUAAAGGGAGCGUAGAGGGGUUGUUAAGUCAGGUGUGAAAGGUGGGGGCUCAACCGUAAAAUUGCAAUGGAUACUGGCAGUAUUGAGUACAGGAGAGGUAGGCGGAAUGCGUGGUGUAGCGGUGAAAUGCUUAGAUAUCACGAAGAACUCCGAUUGCGAAGGCAGCUUACUAAACUGCCACUGACAUUGAGGCUCGAAAGUGUGGGUAUCAAACAGGAUUAGAUACCCGGGUAGUC
This 460-nucleotide ribosomal RNA is filed under the name uncultured bacterium. Its description in RNAcentral is "partial 16S ribosomal RNA". It matches the Rfam family "Bacterial small subunit ribosomal RNA", at positions 338 to 795 of the family's 1533-position model. The record is from RNAcentral.